RNAcentral lists this ribosomal RNA (358 nucleotides) under uncultured bacterium. RNAcentral's name for it is "bacterial SSU rRNA". It matches the Rfam family "Bacterial small subunit ribosomal RNA", at positions 71 to 422 of the family's 1533-position model. The record is from RNAcentral.
ACCUGGGCUUCGGCCCUGGGGACAGCGGCGAACGGGUGAGUAACACGUGGGUAAUCUGCCCUUGACGUCGGGAUAGCCCGGGGAAACCCGGAUUAAUACCGAAUAGCCUCCGGAGCCUUCGGGCGCCGGAGAAAAGGUAGCUUCGGCCUCUGGUCAAGGAUGAGCCCGCGGCGGAUUAGCUUGUUGGCGGGGUAACGGCCCACCAAGGCGACGAUCCGUAGCUGGUCUGAGAGGACGAUCAGCCACACUGGGACUGAGACACGGCCCAGACUCCUACGGGAGGCAGCAGUGGGGAAUCUUGCGCAAAUGCGGGAAACCGUGACGCAGCGACGCCGCGUGGGGGAAGAAGGCCUUCGGG